Molecule: ribosomal RNA, 269 nt
Filed under: uncultured prokaryote
Description: partial 16S ribosomal RNA
Rfam family: Bacterial small subunit ribosomal RNA
Source: RNAcentral
GACAGAGGUGGCAAGCGUUGUUCGGAAUUACUGGGCAUAAAGGGCGCGUAGGUGGUCAGGUAGGUCAGUGGUGAAAGCCCCCGGCCCAACCGGGGAAUUGCCUCUGAAACCAUCUGACUGGAGUGCAAGAGGGGAGAGUGGAACUCGAGGUGGAGCGGUGAUAUGCGUAGAUAUCUCGGGGAACGCCGGUGGCGAAAGCGACUCUCUGGUUUGCUACUGACACUGAGGCGCGAAAGCCAGGGGAGCGAACGGGAUUAGAUACCCGCGUA